Non-coding RNA from Pelobates cultripes (western spadefoot toad), 229 nucleotides. The record is from the annotation of a GenBank genome assembly. Lineage: Eukaryota; Metazoa; Chordata; Amphibia; Anura; Pelobatidae.
AAAGAAAGAGGUUAAGGUUGUUUGAGGGAGAAGAAAAGCUGGAGGAGUCUGAUAGUGUAGCACCAUCAUUUAGCAGUGUAAGCAGCACUGCUCAAUCCACUGGAUCAGCUGCAUUUUGGGCUGAGGCAUUGGAUAGUUUGGUGGGACCCACUACGGUUCCCUCAAGAAAAGUAAGUAGUCCCACAAAGAUGGUGAAGCUUUGAGCUUUUGGGAUGAGAAAAUGGAUGUU